GAAAGUACCGGUAAUUAACUACCGCACUACCGACCCGGUACGGGGAAAGGCCGGGGAUCUUCGGACCUGGCGCUAGUAGAUGAGCCCGCGUGAGAUUAGCUUGUUGGUGGGGUAAUGGCCUACCAAGGCAACGAUCUCUAGCUGGUCUGAGAGGACGAUCAGCCACACUGGGACUGAGACACGGCCCAGACUCCUACGGGAGGCAGCAGUGGGGAAUAUUGGACAAUGGGCGAAAGCCUGAUCCAGCAAUGCCGCGUGUGUGAAGAAGGCCUGAGGGUUGUAAAGCACUUUCAAUCGUGAAGAAAAGUUGCAGGCUAAUACCCUGUGACCUUGACGUUAACGAUACAAGAAGCACCGGCUAACUCCGUG
This 369-nucleotide ribosomal RNA is filed under the name uncultured bacterium. Its description in RNAcentral is "bacterial SSU rRNA". It matches the Rfam family "Bacterial small subunit ribosomal RNA", at positions 153 to 507 of the family's 1533-position model. The record is from RNAcentral.